GGAAGGACCGUGUCUCAGUGGUAGAGCAUUUGCCUUAUGUGCAGAAGUUCCUAGGUUCAAUCCCCGGCCCCUCCA
Molecule: non-coding RNA, 75 nt
Organism: Podarcis lilfordi (Lilford's wall lizard)
Lineage: Eukaryota; Metazoa; Chordata; Lepidosauria; Squamata; Lacertidae
Source: the annotation of a GenBank genome assembly